ACAUGCAAGUCGAGCAGGGAGUCUUCGGAACAAACCUAGCGGCGGACGGGUGAGUAACACGUGGGUAACCUGCCCAAAGAGGGGGAUAGCCUCCCGAAAGGGAGAUUAAUACCGCAUAACAUUAUUUUCUCGCUGAGAGAAUAAUCAAAGGAGCAAUCCGCUUUGAGAUGGACCCGCGGCGCAUUAGCUAGUGGUGAGGUAACGGCUCACCAAGGCGACGAUGCGUAGCCGACCUGAGAGGGUGAUCGGCCCAUUGGAACUGAGACACGGUCCAGACUCCUACGGGAGGCAGCAGUGGGGAAUAUUGCGCAUGGGGGAAACCCUGACGCAGCAACGCCGCGUGAGUGAUGAAGGCCUUCGGGUUGUAAAUACUUUCAGCGAGGAGGAAGGCAUUAAGGUUAAUAACCUUGGUGAUUGACGUUACUCGCGAAGAAGCACCGGCUAACUCCGUGCCAGCAGCCGCGGUAAUACGGAGGGUGCAAGCGUUAUCGGAAUUACUGGGCGUAAAGCGCACGCAGGCGGUCUGUCAAGUCGGAUGUGAAAUCCCGGGCUCAACCUGGGAACUGCAUUCGAAACUGGCAGGCUAGAGUCUUGUAGAGGGGGGUGAAUUCCAGGUGUAGCGGUGAAAUGCGUAGAGAUCUGGAGGAAUACCGGUGGCGAAGGCGCCCCCUGGACAAAGACUGACGCUCAGGUGCGAAAGCGUGGGGAGCAAACAGGAUUAGAACCCUGGUAGUCCACGCCGUAAACGAUGUCGACUUGGAGGUUGUGCCCUUGAGGCGUGGUUCCGGAGCUAACGCGUUAAGUCGACCGCCUGGGGAGUACGGCCGCAAGGUUAAAACUCAAUGAAUUGACGGGG
RNAcentral lists this ribosomal RNA (856 nucleotides) under uncultured Enterobacter sp. Its description in RNAcentral is "bacterial SSU rRNA". It matches the Rfam family "Bacterial small subunit ribosomal RNA", at positions 53 to 918 of the family's 1533-position model. The record is from RNAcentral. Lineage: Bacteria; Pseudomonadati; Pseudomonadota; Gammaproteobacteria; Enterobacterales; Enterobacteriaceae.